This 406-nucleotide ribosomal RNA is filed under the name uncultured bacterium. RNAcentral's name for it is "partial 16S ribosomal RNA". It matches the Rfam family "Bacterial small subunit ribosomal RNA", at positions 30 to 526 of the family's 1533-position model. The record is from RNAcentral.
AUUGAACGCUGGCGGCAGGCCUAACACAUGCAAGUCGAACGAGUGGCGGACGGUUGAGUAAUGUCUGGGAAACUGCCCGAUGGAGGGGGGUAACUACUGGAAACGGUAGCUAAUACCGCAUACCAUCGGAUGUGCCCAGAUGGGAUUAGCUAGGAGGUGGGGUAACGGCUCACCUAGGCGACGAUUCCUAGCUGGUCUGAGAGGAUGACCGGCCAGACUGGAACUGGCACACGGUCCAGACUCCUACGGUAGGCAGCAGUGGGGAAUAUUGCACAAUGGGCGCAAGCUUGAUGCAGCCAUGCCGCGUGUAUGAAGAAGGCCUUCGGGUUGUAAAGUACUUUCAGCGGGGAGGCGUUACUCGCAGAAGAAGCACCGGCUAAAUCCGUGCCAGCAGCCGCGGUAAUAC